RNAcentral lists this ribosomal RNA (425 nucleotides) under uncultured Methanosaeta sp. RNAcentral describes it as "bacterial SSU rRNA". It matches the Rfam family "Archaeal small subunit ribosomal RNA", at positions 322 to 747 of the family's 1478-position model. The record is from RNAcentral. Lineage: Archaea; Methanobacteriati; Methanobacteriota; Methanomicrobia; Methanotrichales; Methanotrichaceae.
CCUAUGGGGUGCAGCAGGCGCGAAAACUUUACAAUGCGGGAAACCGUGAUAAGGGAAUCUCGAGUGCCAGCAUAUAAUGUUGGCUGUCCAGAUGCCUAAAAAGCAUCUGUUAGCAAGGGCCGGGCAAGACCGGUGCCAGCCGCCGCGGUAACACCGGCGGCCCGAGUGGUAACCGCUUUUAUUGGGUCUAAAGGGUCUGUAGCCGGCCAAGUAAGUCCCUUGGGAAAUCUGGCAGCUUAACUGUCAGGCUGCUAGGGGAUACUGCUAGGCUUGGGACCGGGAGAGGUGAGAGGUACCUUGGGGGUAGGGGUGAAAUCUUGUGAUCCUCGGGGGACCACCAGUGGCGAAGGCGUCUCACCAGAACGGGUCCGACGGUAAGGGACGAAAGCUAGGGGCACGAACCGGAUUAGAUACCCCGGUAGUCC